RNAcentral lists this ribosomal RNA (253 nucleotides) under uncultured bacterium. Its description in RNAcentral is "partial 16S ribosomal RNA". It matches the Rfam family "Bacterial small subunit ribosomal RNA", at positions 524 to 776 of the family's 1533-position model. The record is from RNAcentral.
UACGUAGGGUGCAAGCGUUGUCCGGAAUUAUUGGGCGUAAAGAGCUCGUAGGCGGUUUGUUGCGUCGGCUGUGAAAACCUGAGGCUCAACCUCAGGCCUGCAGUCGAUACGAGCAGACUAGAGUGUUGCAGGGGAGACUGGAAUUCCUGGUGUAGCGGUGAAAUGCGCAGAUAUCGGGAAGAACACCCGUGGCGAAGGCGGCUCUCUGGGACGGUACUGACGCUGAGACGCGAAAACGUGGGGAGCAAACAGG